CUCCACCAUCCUCUUCCCUCUGUCCUGGGCCACCCGCAGUGGGGCAGGCCGGCAGACAGAGGCUUCCAGCUGAAAGAUCAGGGAGCUGGGAUCAAGGGGUUCCCCUGCCCACGGAGGCUGCGAUGCCAGUAAGAGCCCCAGAGGGUGCAACGAAGGGGGCCCCUGCUGCUCUGCCCCACUCACCCAUCAGGAUGAACCCGAGACUUGCGGCCUCACCAGGGGAGAUCACGCAUUCCUCGGCCCCUCUGCGCCGUUGGCACCAGGAGGAAUUUGGCAGUAUCCAGUUGAGGUGAAGACACACUGGGGACCUGGCAAGUGCUCUCCCACGUCUACACCCAGGGACACACAUGAGAAGGUUCACACAGCACAGUCUGAAUCGGCGAGGGACUGGAAACGACACAAACGCUCGUCUACAGGAGAUGGAUGAUGAACUGUGAUCUACCAGCUCCGUGGAAUAGUACACAACAGUGAGAAUGAAUGACCCACAGCUACGUUGGAUGGACAUCAAAAACAAUAUUAAACAGAAGAAGCAAAACAAAGCCCGAUACAUCCUAGGACUUUGUUCAGAAAUAGUUUAAAACCAGACAAAAUGAAAUAUGCUCUUUAGGGAAGCAUACAGAGGUAGCAAAACCAAAGAGAAAAGCAAGGCAGCGACUGCCUCAAAAAUCAGGGGAGAAGCUGCCU
Molecule: long non-coding RNA, 684 nt
Organism: Lagenorhynchus albirostris (white-beaked dolphin)
Lineage: Eukaryota; Metazoa; Chordata; Mammalia; Artiodactyla; Delphinidae
Exons: 3
Source: RefSeq, a predicted model, not a curated record